CGCAGCCAGCUGCGAGACUUGGUGUGAAUUGCAGGACACAUUGAGCACUGAUUUUUCGAACGCACAUUGCGGCCUCGGGUACUACCCGGGGCCUCGCCUGUCUGAGGGUCGGAUAAGACUUGCCCAGGAAGCGUGUCUUUCGACGCGCUUUCAAUUGGCCGUACCGGAGACCUCCGCGUCUUCGCCGGCUCAAGGUCUUCCAGGAUCCUCCCCGGUCGAAGGAGCGUUGCCCCUGAGCAUGCUCGUCGGUUGGAGAAGACGGAACUUCGUUUCUCCUCGAUGACGAGACGUGGGGCUAUGCGAGAAGACCGAAUUCGUGGGGGUUUCUGCUGGAAUGUUCCUCACUCGAGGGAUUUCCACCGACACUUUAUUUUUAUGUCGACCUCAGAUCAGACGAGAUGACCCGCUGAAUUUAAGCAUAUC
This 423-nucleotide ribosomal RNA is filed under the name Araneidae sp. ORB019. RNAcentral describes it as "eukaryotic LSU rRNA". The stretch from base 1 to 111 matches the Rfam family "5.8S ribosomal RNA", at positions 44 to 154 of the family's 154-position model. Lineage: Eukaryota; Metazoa; Arthropoda; Arachnida; Araneae; Araneidae. The record is from RNAcentral.